RNAcentral lists this ribosomal RNA (443 nucleotides) under uncultured bacterium. RNAcentral describes it as "partial 16S ribosomal RNA". It matches the Rfam family "Bacterial small subunit ribosomal RNA", at positions 338 to 795 of the family's 1533-position model. The record is from RNAcentral.
CCUACGGGCGGCAGCAGUGGGGAAUAUUGGGCAAUGGAGGAAACUCUGACCCAGCAACGCCGCGUGAAUGAUGAAGGUCUUCUGAUUGUAAAGUUCUUUUCUUAGGGAGGAAGCAUGUGACGGUACCUUAGUAAUAAGCCUCCGCUAACUACGUGCCCGCAGCCGCGGUAAUACGUAGGAGGCGAGCGUUUUCCGGAAUGACUGGGCGUAAGGGGUGCGUAGGUGGUUUGGCAAGUUAGUAGCGUAACUCCAAGGCUCAACCUUGGAACUACUACUAAAACUGUUGGACUUGAGUGCAGGAGGGGCAAGCGGAAUGCCUAGUGUAGCGGUGGAAUGCGUAGAUAUUAGGAGGAACACCAGUGGCGAAGGCGGGUUGCUAGACUGUAACUGACACUGAGGCACGAAAGCGUGGGGAGCAAACAGGAUUAGAUACCCGAGUAGUC